This 482-nucleotide ribosomal RNA is filed under the name uncultured bacterium. RNAcentral's name for it is "partial 16S ribosomal RNA". It matches the Rfam family "Bacterial small subunit ribosomal RNA", at positions 30 to 507 of the family's 1533-position model. The record is from RNAcentral.
AUUGAACGCUGGCGGCAUGCCUUACACAUGCAAGUCGAACGGUAACAGGUCUUCGGAUGCUGACGAGUGGCGAACGGGUGAGUAAUACAUCGGAACGUGCCCGAUCGUGGGGGAUAACGAGGCGAAAGCUUUGCUAAUACCGCAUACGAUCUACGGAUGAAAGCGGGGGAUCUUCGGACCUCGCGCGGACGGAGCGGCCGAUGGCAGAUUAGGUAGUUGGUGGGAUAAAAGCUUACCAAGCCGACGAUCUGUAGCUGGUCUGAGAGGAUGAUCAGCCACACUGGGACUGAGACACGGCCCAGACUCCUACGGGAGGCAGCAGUGGGGAAUUUUGGACAAUGGGCGAAAGCCUGAUCCAGCCAUGCCGCGUGCAGGAUGAAGGCCUUCGGGUUGUAAACUGCUUUUGUACGGAGCGAAAAGCCUCUUUCUAAUAAAGAGGGGUCAUGACGGUACCGUAAGAAUAAGCACCGGCUAACUACGUG